Long non-coding RNA from Neopsephotus bourkii (Bourke's parrot), 3562 nucleotides. RefSeq lists it as uncharacterized. The transcript is spliced from 2 exons. NCBI's taxonomy places the organism in Eukaryota, Metazoa, Chordata, Aves, Psittaciformes, Psittacidae. The record is from RefSeq and is a predicted model, not a curated record.
GAGCACCUCCAUGGUGGUGUACACUAAUCAGUUUUCUCACAGCACCUAGGGAGGCUGGUGGUGAAUGUAUUCCUCACAAUGAAAGUGUCACGGGUUGUUUGCGUGUGUUUCUGGGACUGUGCUGCACUGCAGAAGAGGAGGAGGUAGGUUCCCCAGUGCAGGCAAGAGACCCUCAGAGAAUGGUGGCACCUGCUGCAUUCCCAAAGCCCUGCCAGGCAAGCAUCGAGGGUUGGGCGGCAGGAUUCAAGGGGCUUGAUGUGGUGGGGUGAGCACAGUGGGUGCUUUCAGUAAUGGUUAAAGCAACAGCUCUGUAGGACAAGGGGUGCCCCUCUUGGGGAUGUCUUUCUGAUAAAGCUCCUGGUUUUAUCCCAAUUACUCUGGACAGUGGCAUUUGAUACCAUAGGAAAACUCAUGAGAUUUUCUGACCAGAUUUUCUGGUUUGCUCUUUGAACAGCUGGUGAUGGCUGAAACACUCAUUCAGGCAGCUGAUGCUGGGAGAACAUGGCUUUCAUUGAAGAACAGUGAGGAGGCACCAGUCUGCCCCUGGCAACGGUCUGAGCUUUGUGCCAUAGUGGUACUUUUGGCCACUGGUUCUUCCAGUGGGUGCGAGCAAGUUCAGCCGUCUUGUGGCAAGAUCCUGGGUGUCAUAGGGAUCACUGUGGGUGCAGCAUAAAUAGCACCUUGUAAUGGAUCUGAAUACCUCUUGACCACGUCUUAUGCACUUGCACAUCCAUGCCCACCCUGCCAAUGCUGAGCAGCCUUAAGCAGGAACCACAUAAAAUUACAGCUCUGCCAAAAAAAUUUCUACCCUUCUGGUGGAAAAAAUGAUGGUUGGCCUGCAGGCCACAGCUCUGACAUGCUGUCGCCUUGCAGCUCAGAGCCAGCAGUGUGACUCGCUUGAAGUGGAGGUGAAGCCUGCCUUUCCAUGAGGAACAAGCCCAGAAGGCUUCAAAACAUCUGCUCUGAAAUUUGUGACCUUUCCCCAAAUAUGAGAGGUGCCAGUUCAUUAGCUUUUCUCCUUCCGAGCUGGUGGGUCAGAGUAGGAUGCAAAAGGUAGAUGAGAAACAGCACAAGCUGCCUUUUGCUUGGUUUUUUAUAUCUCCAGUUGAAACAUUCUGUUCCUUUCAGAUCUAUGCCCGGGGUUGGGGGCUUUGUUGCAGAGCAUGAUACAACAGGUGAGGUCUGGGGCUGCUUCCCAGCUGGGCAUAUCUUAAGAGCAAUGAGAAGCUGGUUUCUCCAAGAGGAUGGUUCGGAGGUGUUGCCCAUCUUCCCAAGCUGUGCACCUUCCUGCUCUCCUCCUCCCCAGUGCAGCCUUUUCACCAUUUCCAGGUUAUUUUAUAUGAAACUAUUCUGGCAGAGAAUUUCAGGGACACAGGACUGGGUCAGGUCUGUUCUCUGGAGUGGCAGCAGUGCUGUGCCUGUGGGAAUGCCAUGGUACCUCUUGGAAAUCAACCGGGAACAAUCCAGAACCACCCACUGACUGGAGCCGGCCUAUGCCGGGGCUGCCUUCCCCUGCCCUGCAGUUGCUGCCCCUCCUGCCAGCACUCCCUGCCCACAGCACCCCUGUUGCGGGCAGGGUGCUCGCUCCUCCAUGGUACUUUGCGGAUCACCUCCCGGGUUCCCUAGUUGGUCCCUCCGGUUUGUGUUGGCGUAGCUGCUUGCUUGGCUUUUCCUUUGCUUUCUUUAUUUUUGGGUUUUGUUUCUCCUCCCCUUUCACCCCUUCCCCCAGCCCCAAGUGUUGUGGGGUUUUUUUCUCCUUUUUUUUUUAUUUUUUUUUUCUGCCCAGAAAAACCUGACUUCGAUACCAAAAAAACAAAACAAAAAAACAAAAACAAACAAAAAAACUAACAAAAAACCUGCAGAAACAAAAAAAAAAGAAAAAAAAAAGCCACAAAAAAAAACUCGACAAUUCUUUCAGCUUUAUUAACAUUUUCCAUUGUUUCUUGCGAUUUGUGUCUCGUUCUUUGUAGUAUUGAUGAUAACGAACAUUUGAUAAUGAAUGUUCUUGUAUAUUCAGAUAAAGGAGAAAAAAAAAACCAAAAACGCAGUCGGAAUUUAAUAGUGUUUAUAAUAAAAGAAUAAAAAAUGACCCUCUUAGCACGCAAAAUUGAACAGGGGGAAGGUCCCAUCCCUGUUCUUUCUGUGGCAACAAGCGCUUCAUUCCUGUAUAGUUUAUAACAUCGAACUACCUACAUUCAUCUUUUUUUUGUUUGUUUGUUUUUCCCAUUAUUUUUUCCCAUUUUCUCGCAUUUGUGAAUUAGUUCAAGAAUGCUAGAAAAGUGUAGAGUUGUGCACACUCAUUUCUUCUUACACAAUGUUUAAAAAGUGACAGUAAUUCAUUUUGUAAAACUUUAAAAAGAAAAAAAAUGGUUGGAAUAGUGAGCAUUAAUAGGUACAGUCUAACACUUUAUGUUUCUUAACGUUGAGACCCAGAAAUUACCUUUUAUUUUUUUGGCAUUAUUUGAGGGGGGGGGGGGGCUUUGAUGAUGAUGCUGAGUUUAUUUUGACCUGCCUGAGACAUCAGCCUUGCUGCUUCCCCUGCGCUUUUGAGCUGUGCCCCAAGUGAUGUGAAAAGUGAUGGUGGUGUUUGGGGGGGGAAUUGUCUCUCCUCCAGGGGGCCCCCACUCCUUUUGAUACACAACCCAGAAGAUCCUUAGGUAGCUCCUUUGGGGCUGAGUUGGGGAGUUACAUAUCCAGAGAAGCAUGUAGUCCCGUGGGGUUUUGGCGAAUACAUGCUGAGGGGUAACGGGGAGUCAGGUGCUGAGCUGCUUGGAAGUGAUGAAAGGGCAUGAAUCCUCCCCCGAAUGUGUAGACAGUGGGCUUCAAUGCUUUUAUGCUCUGCCCUGAAUCCCAGUGGCACCCAAGGGUUUGCUGCAAGAGCCCUGGAUUGGAGGCACCCAUCAGCCCAGACACAGCUCUUGGCUGAAAAAUUAAUUUGGAGCAAGGAAGGUACCAACCUCAUUUCAGUCAUGGACCUUGUUGAGGAUGGGGUCUCACAGCCUAGCCCCAAGCCCCAGCGGCACAGGGUUGCUGGGAAAGAUAAGGGACAAGGGACGGGACGUGGCAGCCUCCCAGCCAUAGUGGGACACAGCCAAACUGCCCCCCAAAUAUAGCCUGAAAUCUCAGUGGCUGCAGAGUGGGGUUCAAGGAGAAGUGCUAAGGAAGAUGUUGGUGGGCACCACUUUAGUUGUCUCUUAAAAACAGGUUCCCUGUGCCCCCUCCCCCCAAAAAACAGCUUUUUACAUCACUGAACGGUUUAGGGUUUGAGGUAUUAUUUUUAAUCCCAAGGUUUCCUGGAGUCCUUUUUUUUCAUACACCUUUAUUAUUAUUAUUAUUAUUAAGACUAUGUAAAUCAGACGUUGCCUGGGGGUUGGUUCUGUCGGUUUGCUUUUUUUGUUCUUGCAAAGCCCUUUCUAUCCCUUGUAAAGAUGAUCCAAUUGUUCUGAGUUGCUUUUUCUUUUCUAUUUUUUCCCCCAUCUUUUUUUUUUCUCUUCCUAAUGGAUUCCAAAUAUUAUUAAAAAAAAAAAAAAAGAAAAAGAAAAACCUUAAAAAAAAAAAAACA